AGGUCUGAUAGUCUACCUUUCUG
RNAcentral lists this microRNA (23 nucleotides) under Monodelphis domestica (gray short-tailed opossum). RNAcentral describes it as "mdo-miR-7385e-5p". The record is from miRBase by way of RNAcentral. Lineage: Eukaryota; Metazoa; Chordata; Mammalia; Didelphimorphia; Didelphidae.